UGGGGGAUAUUGCACAAUGGGCGAAAGCCUGAUGCAGCGACGCCGCGUGGGGGAUGAAGGCCUUCGGGUUGUAAACUUCUUUUUCUCUGAACAAGGCAUGCUAAUGGGUGUGUUGAGUGUAGGGGUUGAUUAGCGCCGGCUAACUACGUGCCAGCAGCCGCGGUAAUACGUAGGUCGCGAGCGUUGUCCGGAAUUAUUGGGCGUAAAGGGCUUGUAGGUGGCUGGUUGCGUCUGUCGUGAAAGCUCAUGGCUUAACUGUGGGUUUGCGGUGGGUACGGGCUGGAUUGAGUGCAGUAGGGGAGGCUGGAAGUCCUGGUGUAGCGGUGGAAUGCGCAGAUAUCAGGAGGAAUACCGGUGGCGAAGGCGGGUCUCUGGGCUGUUACUGACACUGAGGAGCGAAAGCAUGGGGAGCGAACAGG
This 419-nucleotide ribosomal RNA is filed under the name bacterium. Its description in RNAcentral is "partial 16S ribosomal RNA". It matches the Rfam family "Bacterial small subunit ribosomal RNA", at positions 355 to 776 of the family's 1533-position model. The record is from RNAcentral.